This 812-nucleotide ribosomal RNA is filed under the name uncultured bacterium. RNAcentral describes it as "bacterial SSU rRNA". It matches the Rfam family "Bacterial small subunit ribosomal RNA", at positions 560 to 1372 of the family's 1533-position model. The record is from RNAcentral.
GUAAAGCGCGCGCAGGCGGCCUUUUAAGUUGGAUGUGAAAGCCUACAGCUCAACUGUAGAACUGCAUCCAAAACUAUUGGGCUAGAGUGUGGGAGAGGAAGAUGGAAUUAGUUGUGUAGGGGUAAAAUCCGUAGAGAUAACUAGGAAUACCAAAAGCGAAGGCAAUCUUCUGGAACACUACUGACGCUGAGGCGCGAAGGCGUGGGGAGCAAACAGGAUUAGAUACCCUGGUAGUCCACGCAGUAAACGAUGAAUGUUAGUCGUCGGGUAGCUAGUCUAUUCGGUGAUGCAGCUAACGCAUUAAACAUUCCGCCUGGGGAGUACGGUCGCAAGAUUAAAACUCAAAGGAAUAGACGGGGACCCGCACAAGUGGUGGAGCAUGUGGUUUAAUUCGAAGAUACGCGAAGAACCUUACCUAGCCUUGACAUAUAUUAGAACAGACCAGAGAUGGACUGGUGCCUUCGGGAGCUUUUAUACAGGUGCUGCACGGCUGUCGUCAGCUCGUGUCGUGAGAUGUUGGGUUAAGUCCCGCAACGAGCGCAACCCUCGUCACUAGUUACUAACGGUUCGGCCGAGGACUCUAGUGAGACUGCCUUCGCAAGGAGGAGGAAGGUGAGGACGACGUCAAGUCAUCAUGGCCCUUACGGCUAGGGCAACACACGUGCUACAAUGGCCAGGACAAUGAGACGCGAUACCGCGAGGUGGAGCAAAUCUAUAAACCUGGUCUCAGUUCGGAUUGUAGUCUGCAACUCGACUACAUGAAGCUGGAAUCACUAGUAAUCGUAGAUCAGCUAUGCUACGGUGAAUACGUU